This 253-nucleotide ribosomal RNA is filed under the name uncultured bacterium. RNAcentral's name for it is "partial 16S ribosomal RNA". It matches the Rfam family "Bacterial small subunit ribosomal RNA", at positions 524 to 776 of the family's 1533-position model. The record is from RNAcentral.
UACGAGGGGUGCAAGCGUCAUUCGGAAUGACUGGGCGUAAAGGGUGCGUAGACGGCACGUUAAGUCUUUUGUUAAAUACCUCAGCCUAACUGGGGAUCAGCAGGGGAAACUGGCGAGCUUGAGAUUGGAAGAGAGAAGUGGAAUUCUCGGAGUAGCGGUAAAAUGCGUAGAUCUCGAGAGGAACACCAAUGGCGAAGGCAGCUUCUUGGUCCAAUUCUGACGUUGAGGCACGAAAGCGUGGGGAGCAAACAGG